CUGGCGGCAGGCCUAACACAUGCAAGUCGAGCGGAAACGAAGAGGUGCUUGCACCUCUGGCGUCAAGCGGCGGACGGGUGAGUAAUGCUUGGGAAUAUGCCUUAUGGUGGGGGACAACAGUUGGAAACGACUGCUAAUACCGCAUGAUGUCUACGGACCAAAGAGGGGGACCUUCGGGCCUCACGCCAUAAGAUUAGCCCAAGUGGGAUUAGCUAGUUGGUGAGGUAAUGGCUCACCAAGGCGACGAUCCCUAGCUGGUUUGAGAGGAUGAUCACCCACACUGGGACUGAACACGGCCCAAACUCCUACGGGAGGCAGCAGUGGGGAAUAUUGCACAAUGGGCGCAAGCCUGAUGCACCAUGCCGCGUGUGUAAGAAGGCCUUCGGGUUGUAAAGCACUUUCAGUAAGGAGGAAAGGUUAAGUGUUAAUAGCACUUA
Molecule: ribosomal RNA, 437 nt
Filed under: uncultured Gammaproteobacteria bacterium
Lineage: Bacteria; Pseudomonadati; Pseudomonadota; Gammaproteobacteria
Description: bacterial SSU rRNA
Rfam family: Bacterial small subunit ribosomal RNA
Source: RNAcentral